RNAcentral lists this ribosomal RNA (378 nucleotides) under uncultured eukaryote. Its description in RNAcentral is "partial 18S ribosomal RNA". It matches the Rfam family "Eukaryotic small subunit ribosomal RNA", at positions 592 to 975 of the family's 1831-position model. The record is from RNAcentral.
CAAUAGCGUAUAUUUAAGUUGUUGCAGUUAAAAAGCUCGUAGUUGGAUUUCGGAUGGGACUUGCCGGUCCGUCGUUUCGAUGUGCACUGGCCAGUCCUAUCUUGUUGUCGGGGACUAGCUCCUGGGCUUCACUGUCCGGGACUAGGAGCUGACGAGGUUACUUUGAGUAAAUUAGAGUGUUCAAAGCAAGCCUACGCUCUGAAUACAUUAGCAUGGAAUAACACGAUAGGACUCUGGCUUAUCUUGUUGGUCUGUGAGACCAGAGUAAUGAUUAAGAGGGACAGUCGGGGGCAUUCGUAUUUCAUCGUCAGAGGUGAAAUUCUUGGAUUUAUGAAAGACGAACUUCUGCGAAAGCAUUUGUCAAGGAUGUUUUCAUUA